This 253-nucleotide ribosomal RNA is filed under the name uncultured bacterium. Its description in RNAcentral is "partial 16S ribosomal RNA". It matches the Rfam family "Bacterial small subunit ribosomal RNA", at positions 524 to 776 of the family's 1533-position model. The record is from RNAcentral.
UACAGAGGUCCCAAGCGUUGUUCGGAUUCACUGGGCGUAAAGGGUGCGUAGGUGGCCUGGAAAGUUUGAUGUGAAAGCUCGGAGCUUAACUCCGAAAUGGCAUUGAAUACUACUGGGCUUGAGGGUCGGAGGGGAGAAUGGAAUUCCUGGCGUAGCGGUGAAAUGCGCAGAUAUCAGGAAGAACACCCGUGGCUAAGGCGGUUCUCUAGUACGGUACUGACGCUGAGACGCGAAAGCGUGGGGAGUGAACAGG